This 295-nucleotide unclassified non-coding RNA is filed under the name Hevea brasiliensis (rubber tree). Lineage: Eukaryota; Viridiplantae; Streptophyta; Magnoliopsida; Malpighiales; Euphorbiaceae. The record is from RNAcentral.
UGCUAACUGUGUACACUGCCGUGCCGGCAAGGGUUUUCGCCACGUGCUCUGAGCUCAGAGUGCCAGCAGCUGCGGCGUGCUUCUGCUGGGAGACAGAGGCGAAAAACGGCGCCGUACGGAGCCGCCUGGCUGUCGGCCCCGGCGGCAGAUUGGCGGGGUGGAGGGCUCGAGUAGUGUCGCCGAACCGAGUGGCAAGCUCGGCCCCCAGCCGGAGGCAGUGCUGGUGGAUGAAUGUGGAGAGAGAUAAGAGAGGGUUUGAGGGUUUUGCGGGUUCCAUCGUCGCAAGAAGGAAAUG